RNAcentral lists this ribosomal RNA (254 nucleotides) under uncultured bacterium. RNAcentral's name for it is "partial 16S ribosomal RNA". It matches the Rfam family "Bacterial small subunit ribosomal RNA", at positions 524 to 776 of the family's 1533-position model. The record is from RNAcentral.
UACGUAGGGUCCGAGCGUUGUCCGGAAUUAUUGGGCGUAAAGAGCUCGUAGGCGGUGUGUCGCGUCGGCCGUGAAAACCUGCAGCUUAACUGUGGGCUUGCGGUCGAUACGGGCAUCACUGGAGUUCGGCAGGGGAGACUGGAAUUCCUGGUGUAGCGGUGAAAUGCGCAGAUAUCAGGAGGAACACCGGUGGCGAAGGCGGGUCUCUGGGCCGAUACUGACGCUGAGAAGCGAAAGCAUGGGGAGCGAACAGG